CGUGAUUGGUUACCUUGAAUAUCCUAUAACUCGGAAGCUAUCGGUUGCAGAAGUGUUUGGCAAAGGACUUUUCGUUUCAGAAUUUCUCGAACAAUCUGUCCACAAAAUCUGAUCCGGUCAACCUGAAUCCACCUUUAUAAAUGAAACAUUCAUCUAAAAUAUAGUAUAGUGAAGCCUUGUUUAUGCAUUUACCUCUUACCGAAACAUUUCUCUGACUUAUAUUUCAUAACAGCUAUAUUUCUUGGCAAAUGAGUAUGGUGUCACUGUCAUAAUAUCUCGUUCACAGCACCAACACGGAAACUUCAUACACACAUAUGUAUAUUAUGAUUUUCGUCUUACCUGCAAUUGCACAAGUAUUGUGACCUUCAUCCAGAAAUUUUAUGCAGAUAGUAGUAGGGUAUCCCUCCAAUCAGCACCCUCGAAGCUUCCUCAGCAAUUAUCUGGAAAGUAAAUAAAGAUAAAAAAAAGUGUGCCAUCUAUUGAAU
RNAcentral lists this unclassified non-coding RNA (485 nucleotides) under Athalia rosae (coleseed sawfly). Its description in RNAcentral is "misc RNA ENSAEAG00005002501.1". The record is from RNAcentral. Lineage: Eukaryota; Metazoa; Arthropoda; Insecta; Hymenoptera; Athaliidae.